RNAcentral lists this long non-coding RNA (407 nucleotides) under Carica papaya (papaya). Its description in RNAcentral is "long non-coding RNA (CPAP_LNC009903)". Lineage: Eukaryota; Viridiplantae; Streptophyta; Magnoliopsida; Brassicales; Caricaceae. The record is from RNAcentral.
UUGCUUCACUAAUCACAUGAAAAGGGUCGAUGAAUAUGCUUGACUCUAUAUUUGCAUCAUCAUAAAGUAAGUUAUGUAAAAAUAUACACUACUUCUCAUUCAUUUGCAUGAAUUAGGUCAUGUAAAUGUGGUGACCCUUCAUUUGCAUCUUCAUGAAAUAAUUAGUAUGCACAAUGUUUCAUGUUCAUUUACAAGAACAGGUUGUGAAUAAAAUUUGUAGUAAAAGUUCAAACUAUUUUGCACUUUGAGAGAAAACACAAUGUUUUAAUUAGUAUUUUAACUCGAUGUUCCCAUAGUUUAUAAAUAUUUUCAUCAGAUACGGAUUCAAUCAAGAAUUGCGGUUACGCCUUCAAACCUUUCACCAGCAGUUGAUUCUCAAGCAGCCGAUUCCUUCUGCUCUUCUGGGG